Molecule: ribosomal RNA, 480 nt
Filed under: uncultured bacterium
Lineage: Bacteria
Description: partial 16S ribosomal RNA
Rfam family: Bacterial small subunit ribosomal RNA
Source: RNAcentral
AUGAACGCUGGCGGCGUGCUUAACACAUGCAAGUCGAACGAAGCACUUUAUUUGAUUUCCUUCGGGACUGAUUAUUUUGUGACUGAGUGGCGGACGGGUGAGUAACGCGUGGGUAACCUGCCUUGUACAGGGGGAUAACAGUUGGAAACGGCUGCUAAUACCGCAUAAGCGCACAGCAUCGCAUGAUGCAGUGUGAAAAACUCCGGUGGUAUAAGAUGGACCCGCGUUGGAUUAGCUAGUUGGUGAGGUAACGGCCCACCAAGGCGACGAUCCAUAGCCGACCUGAGAGGGUGACCGGCCACAUUGGGACUGCGGCACGGCCCAAACUCCUACGGGAGGCAGCAGUGGGGAAUAUUGCACAAUGGGCGAAGGCCUGAUGCAGCGACGCCGCGUGAGCGAAGAAGUAUUUCGGUAUGUAAAGCUCUAUCAGCAGGGAAGAUAAUGACGGUACCUGACUAAGAAGCACCGGCUAAAUACGUG